This 304-nucleotide ribosomal RNA is filed under the name uncultured fungus. RNAcentral's name for it is "eukaryotic LSU rRNA". Lineage: Eukaryota; Fungi. The record is from RNAcentral.
UUGAAAGGGAAACGAUUGAAGUCAGUCGUACCGACGAAAAUCAACUUCUCGAGUGCCUAUCGUGGGUGACGUUGAGCUUCACGGCCUUCGUUGCUUGUGUUGUUGGUGCUUUUGGGGUGUACUUUUCCGUAUGGUAGGUCAGCAUCGAUUUUGAUCGUCAUAAAAUGAUCGGGGGAAUAUAGCUUCGGUCUCGUAUCGGAGUGUUAUAGACCUUGGUAGAUGUGACAAUUGGGAUCGAGGAUUGCAACGAAUACCUUUUUGGGCUAUCCGUCUGACCUCUGAAAGUCGCCCGGGGGUCGAGAGC